ACAAGUGUGAUUUGUACAUAUACAUAUACAUUAAUUGAUUGUAGCUUUGAAUGACAGAUAAAGAGUCAAAUGAAAGAAUAGCAGUUUACGUAAUUAGAGACCGGUAGGUUUCUUGCUGUGCUGUGAGAGACCAUUACGAAACACUUAUCCUUACAAAACUUAAAGAGGAGGAUCGGCCCUGAUAAUUCAUUUUUCUAGAUACCUGCAUUUCGAGACCGAAACUAUCUCCUGGCAACGUCUUGCUGGUGGUUGAAGUGGUGAAGACAGACUAGACCAGAAAGUUAGCAAUGGGACCUGGUGGACCGGGAGGAGGGCCUGGUGGACCGGGAGGAGGGCCUGGAGGACCUGGCGGAUGGGGGGGAGGUCCAGGAGGACCUGGUGGAUGGGGAGGAGGUCCAGGAGGACCCGGUGGAUGGGGAGGACCAGGUGGAUGGGGCGGAGGUCCAGGAGGACCUGGGGGAUGGGGAGGAGGUCCAGGGGGACCUGGCUGGGGUCCGGGGCCUGGAGGUCCCUGGGGCCCUGGAUUUGGAGGUGGGUUCUUUGGUGGAUUUGCUGAUGGCUUGUGCAACAUGAUAUCUUCUUUGUAAGCAAUCAUCUUUUCUCAAUUCUCCUCCAAUGUCUAGUUAACUACGCUUCGAUUUUUAUCUUACUCACUUCUUAACCUUAAUUGUUUUCGAUUGCAG
RNAcentral lists this long non-coding RNA (683 nucleotides) under Durio zibethinus. RNAcentral's name for it is "long non-coding RNA (DZIB_LNC001750)". Lineage: Eukaryota; Viridiplantae; Streptophyta; Magnoliopsida; Malvales; Malvaceae. The record is from RNAcentral.